Phrynosoma platyrhinos (Desert horned lizard) is the source of this 73-nucleotide non-coding RNA. The record is from the annotation of a GenBank genome assembly. NCBI's taxonomy places the organism in Eukaryota, Metazoa, Chordata, Lepidosauria, Squamata, Phrynosomatidae.
AGCCAGUAUGGUUUAGUGGUUUGAGUGUUACACUAGGACUCUGGAGAACAGGGUUUAAUUCCCUGCUUGGCUA